GAUGAAGAAUGCAGCGAAAUGCGAUAAUUAAUGUGAAUUGCAGAAUUCCGUGAAUCAUCGAGUCUUUGAACGCACAUUGCGCCUCAUGGCAUUCCGUGAGGCAUGCCCAUCUCAGCGUUAGAAAAUAUUCUCAAAUUUUAGUUUUGUGCUAAAAUUUGGAUCAUGUCAAGGAAGCUAUUACUAUUAUUGUGAUCGCUCUUUGGAAAUUGGUAGGUCUUUGAGUUGCUACUCAUAGAACGUGAUGAAUCUUUCUUCGUUCUAUUGUAAUUCACUCUGGUAGUCCUAAAACUUGUAUGCCUGUGGCAUAUCUUGUAAUUUGACCUGAGAUUGGGUAGGGAUACCCGCUGAACUUAAGCAUAUCAAUAAGCGGAGGA
Molecule: unclassified non-coding RNA, 374 nt
Filed under: soil metagenome
Description: partial contains internal transcribed spacer 2 and large subunit ribosomal RNA
Rfam family: 5.8S ribosomal RNA (bases 1-120)
Source: RNAcentral